RNAcentral lists this long non-coding RNA (1048 nucleotides) under Prunus dulcis (almond). Its description in RNAcentral is "sRNA ncRNA". The record is from RNAcentral. Lineage: Eukaryota; Viridiplantae; Streptophyta; Magnoliopsida; Rosales; Rosaceae.
CUCUUCUUCUUCUCCUUUUUUUUUUCUUUCUGUAAAAAUUGUUCCGGUGGCUUUCUGGCAAUGAUGAAGUAGAUGCUAGUCUUAACCCCACCCGCAAACGCAAUACACUUCCAAUAAUUCUCUUUUCAUUGUCUUUUAAUUACGAUGCUCUAACCCAGAAAACGGUUCAAGCCCUUUCAUCUUCCCCACCUUUUGUUCUCUAUAUUGCUUUCAAUUCUGACCUGCCCGCAUCUUUCACGGCUGGAUUGAACGGAAAAAGAACAUCAGUACUGUGUAUUAGUAUGUCUCUCUUCCCCCACUCCCAAACAAUUUCCUCAAUCGCCAAAUUCUCUCUCAUCUUGUGGUUGGUACACCAGUCAUAACAAACAUCGACGACAUACCACACGAUGGGUUCAUCACAGGCUACCUUCAAACAAAACUAAUUUUGAUGGGGACAGCACAUAGCUUACAGUGAGAAGAGUUCUUUUUGGUUCAAUUUUGUGAUAUUGCAACAAAGGCUUCAGUAUUUGUACAUCACAAUGAGACCGAACUUGCAAUGCAAGUAAGAGAGAUUGAAAGAGAUAGGUACUUAUGGACGUCUUCUGUUUUGGUUCAAUACUUCAAGUCUUUUUUCUGCUUUUUUUUUUUUCCCAUGUGAUAACAGAGAAACAGAAGCUUCAUGCUCUGCUGUUAGUCAAAAUUUAAGGCUUUCAAAGGUUCUCUUUUCCUCCCUUAAAAUUUAAGUCUUUUAAAGUUUCUAUUUUUCUCCUUCUCUUUUGUGGUAAAUCAAGUUUGUUCAUACUUAUGGAACCCAUUUGAAAAUUUCAGAAGAAUAUUUUUAAACUCUGAUAUUUUUUCUGAAAUUUCGAAGAAGACAAGAAGGUAUGAGGAGGAAAGGUGAGAGAGAGAGAGAGAGAGAGAGAGAGAGAGAGAGAGAUAAAGAAGAAGACGGCUAAGAGGGAAAGGAGAGAGAAAAGCGGGUGGUGUAGAGGAAAGAUGAACCUGUGUAAAUGUUUUCACAAGUAAAUUUUAUUUUGAAAUAAAAUGAUCUCAUAUGCAUUUCUAACCA